RNAcentral lists this non-coding RNA (76 nucleotides) under Heterosigma akashiwo. Lineage: Eukaryota; Raphidophyceae; Chattonellales; Chattonellaceae. The record is from RNAcentral.
ACAAAAAAAAAGAGUAAAACAUUUCAUAACUCUUCACUCUUCUUGUCAUACUUUUUUUUUACUCUACUUCUUCAUU